This 440-nucleotide ribosomal RNA is filed under the name uncultured bacterium. RNAcentral's name for it is "partial 16S ribosomal RNA". It matches the Rfam family "Bacterial small subunit ribosomal RNA", at positions 338 to 795 of the family's 1533-position model. The record is from RNAcentral.
CCUACGGGAGGCAGCAGUAGGGAAUAUUGCUCAAUGGGGGCAACCCUGAAGCAGCAACGCCGCGUGGAGGAUGAAGGCUUUCGGAUUGUAAACUCCUUUUGUUAGAGAAGAUAAUGACGGUAUCUAACGAAUAAGCACCGGCUAACUCCGGGCCAGCAGCCGCGGUAAUACGGAGGGUACAAGCGUUACUCGGAAUCACUGGGCGUAAAGAGCGCGUAGGCGGGAUAGCAAGUCAGAUGUGAAAUCCUAUGGCUUAACCAUAGAACUGCAUUUGAAACUGUUAUUCUAGAGUAUGGGAGAGGUAGGUGGAAUUCUUGGUGUAGGGGUAAAAUGCGUAGAGAUCAAGAGGAAUACUCAUGGCGAAGGCGACCUGCUAGAACAUAACUGACGCUGAUGCGCGAAAGCGUGGGGAGCAAACAGGAUUAGAUACCCCUGUAGUC